GUCUGCAGCAAAACUGAGGCCUCUGCUGUCAGAAGGGCUGAAUAAAGGGGAAGCACAGCUCUGCGGCAAUACUCUGAUAAUCUAUUGCAGCGCGGCUCACAUCAGUGUCCACCAACCUCAGAAGCAGCUCGGCAGGACCAAAGGGGAGUUUUCGCUUUCAUUAUCGACCCUGCUUCUGUUCUACUUAAUAUUUCCUUCAUCAUCUCAUGUUGUUUCUUAUGGACUUGGAUAUAUUGGAAAGAAAGAAUGCAGAGGCAGAGAAAAAAUGGCAAAUCCUCCAUUUUCUCACGAGAUUUGGGCAUUUAAAAUGUGUCCAUCUAUUCUGAAUGUCAUUAUUUGAUAACGUUUUAUUUGUUACUUAAACCUCACUGGAUACAUUGGAACUCCGUGGGAUUUUAAUAUGGAUUCGGCUUCUGUUGGACAACUAGCUUCAUCUCCAGCUUCCUGCUGGUUCAGUCUUACGUGGUCAUUCCUGAUGCAUUAGAUUAUCAAACAGUGUGAAUUUGCUGUGAGUGGGCGGUGUUGGCUGUGUUUGUAUAUCAUGAUUCGUGAAACCUCUGACAAGGAACCAAAACACCAAAACUUGUGAGCCUUUACCCUCCUCUAUUUCUUUAAUGUGCUGUUGGAAGAACCACAUUUUGAUGGUGUAACCAAUAGUUACCUCUGGGCCAGGUUGGAAAUGAAAUCAAUUUUUUAAACCACUAAUACUUGCCAAGAAAUCGCCUUAUGAGAACAUGGUGUGUGUCUCUGACAAUGCAUGGCACAUCUAAAUUGGUCGUUCAUAAUCUUAUCUCCCUGCUUAUGUACUGGAGAGCGGCAAAAGCCCAAGGCAUCUGGAUAUCCCUGUGCCCAAUGGCUGGGAUAUGACGGACCCUUCGGCUCUUACCAUUCCCGUACAGGCAGGUCUCCAUGAAGAAGCUGGGACUCAUUCACAUUUCCAGAUCCAAAUGCUGUGCAAACAGUGUUAGCUUAGAUCUUCUACAAAUGAAGGGUCAUUUCUCUCUUUUUUUAAAAGUAUGUCUCCAACAUGGAUUCCAAAGCAUUUUCAGCAUCAAACAUGAAAACAUUGAUGAGUGAGAAACAAUCACAAAAGCUGUGUAUCUGUAUAUAGCUCUGUACAACACGUCUGUGGAUAUUGAGUCAUUAUUUAAAGCACAUGCCAGGGAAAGAGACCAAAUUUCAAGGUCUUUUAUAUACAGUGACAUGGUUCUAAGGAGAAUGAAACUCCUACCACUUCCUCUGAAUAUUAAAAAUAUUAAAGUCAUUAUAAUUUCAUAAAACUCAUGACUGAGUCUGGCAAACAUGUGCAACUCUUAUAUUGAUCCAUUCUCUCGUCAAUGGAAGAAGUCCUUCCACGUAUAUGCAAGUGGGAGAUUAAAAACCUGCAUUUUUAAAGGACAAACAGUGAAUUUAAGCAUGAGUGGCCUUAAUAAAUAUAGUUGUCUUUCUUUGCUGCUGUGGGAAAGAUUCUAAACAAAUGUUCCUGAAGUCUUGCAUUGAAUUUACUCAUUAUUAUUACUUUUUAAGAUGUUGGUGCAAUUAACUCUGGGCCUCUCUGGUGAGCCAUAGAGAUAUUUCAAAGACAAAUACCUUAUUGGCUGGGAAGAUGAACCUGUCUCAGAGGUGCACCAACCAUUCAUGGUGCACACGACUUACAUAUUCAAGCAAGUUUCUUGCUUGCAGCUUUGUUCUUAUUGUCAGUAAGUAUACCGAAUUAUGUAAAGCUUACAUGUUGCGUAAACAAUCCAAAUACAUUCAUGUUUUAAAAGUUUGUCCUUUAAUGAUCAAAGGGAUGUAGUCUUGGUUGGAGAAGUGAGCAGAGUUCUUUUCAAGGUGAAUUCCUACAUUGUGACCCAGUGUCACACUGAAAACCCAGGCUGCAGAUGCAUCCCCGGGAAUGGUUUGUCCUCACUGCCUCCUGCAACCAGGUCCUGACCUGAACUCUGCAACUGAAUUCUUGAAAUAGGAAGUAGGAAAUCCAGUAGGAAAAAUAGGGUCAUUGAAAUAGAAAAACAAAGAAACAAACAAACCAUGUAUAGUUAGCUAUUUCUAUGUACGUGCCAAUUUUGUCACAGCUAUUGUUUGGGGGAUUAUUUUCUGCCCCACUUUCAUUGGUUAAAAGUAUUAUUGAUCUUCCCUUCAUGGAGCCAUAAUGUUUAGUCCCUUAAAAAUUCAAUUCUAUUGACUAUAGCAUUUUUUCUCAUUUUAUGUAAUAUUCUCUGAUGUUUGGAAGUUACAAAAACAUCCCUUUUCACUCAUUAAAAAUAGUCUCUGGGUUUACAACAAACACUGUGAUGUUGGGAAAGUAUUUUCUUUGUGCAAGCUGUAGCAAAUUCCCUUCUAAUUAUAAUGUAGUUGAAAAGAGUUUGGGCUAACAUUUAGCAGAAGUUCGUCUAAGUCUUACUAUGUGCAAAGCAGGCUUGUACUUUAUACCCCAUUUGAUUUAUAUGUACAGUCUCAAUUUUGUAUUUAAUGAUUUUUGUGUAUUCAGUAUGCACGUCAACAGCGUGUCAACUUCCAUUUGAAAGUGGGUUUUACUUUUUAAACAGUGUUGAUGAUAAGACCUCAAAUGUGUUGACAUAAGCUCUCUCUGCGACGUUCUUGUGUAGAGUGGCAUUUGAAUGCUCCCCGGGCUCGGUGUAUCUACUUUCCUGAGACCCUCGUUUGAUAGUGCUUCUUGUAAUAUUUCCUCAAGUGAGUGGCAUGUGGGUUGUGAUAUUGACCAUGUGAUUAUGGACAUCGAUAUGAAAAAAUAAAUAAAAUUAAGGAACACUUGAAACUACCAGUGGGCAUGUAUUAGCCAGUUAUUGUAACCUUGUGUCCAGUAGAAGUAUAAUGUACAAGGUAUGUACAGUUCAUAAAUUUGUUAUCAUGUGUAUGAGAAGUACUUUGUGCUGAUCGCCUUAUUUAUAUUCA
Heterocephalus glaber (naked mole-rat) is the source of this 2916-nucleotide long non-coding RNA. The record is from Ensembl. Lineage: Eukaryota; Metazoa; Chordata; Mammalia; Rodentia; Bathyergidae.